CAGCCUGGUCUACAAAGUGAGUUCCAGGACAGCCAGGGCUAUACAGAGAAACCCUGUCUCGAAAAACAAAGAAAAAAAAAAGCAGAAUACCAUCAAACAUUGUUGAUGGUGCCAAAUUAUGUCCUUUAACACACACAGCUACAGAACCAGCUAUUUGGAGCCUAUUUUAACAAUUCUAUGCAUCUUGCUGGAUACAGUGUCUUAGGGUUUUAUUGAAUAAUAAGACACUAUGUCCAUGGCAACUCUUUUUUUUUUUUCUUCCAGUUCUCCUGAAACUGGAGUUACAGACAGUUAUGAGCUGCCAGAGGAUGUCAUGAGCAACUCUAACCCUGAUACGUGUUGUCUAGCCUCCGAAGCUCUCUGGAACCUUUGGGUAAACUUUCAUGACUCCUACUCCUUUGAUGCUCCCAGGUGAGGGUAUAUCAGUCUCCUAAGACCACAGCUUCAGUGACCUCUGUGUGCUUUUGACUCUGAGCCAGGAAAUAUACUGUCCUAGGUGGCUGAUCACUGAGUACAAAGCCCUCACGGUUCUCGUUGUGAAUCCACUAUGCUGGAUGAAUAAGAACAUGCCCCGUAGGCUCAUAUAUUUGAAUGGCCAGUCGUGGGUUGGCAGAAUGUUUGUGAAGGAUUAGGAGGUGUAGCCUCGUUGCAAGAUGUGUGGCACCUUCGUCAGAGGGGGCAUGGCUGAUGUGUCUCUCUGCCUGCUGCCUGUGGAAUACGAUGUAAAUCUCUCAGCUAUUGCUCUAGCAUUAUGCCUGCAUGCAGCCAUGAUGAUCAUGGACUAAGCCUCUGAAACUGUAAGCAGGGCCUCAGUUAAGCUAAGCUUUCUUUUGUAAGAGUUGACUUGGUCAUGGCGUCUCUUCACACCAAUAGGACUAAGACAGUCACUUUUCGAAUGAAAGUUUUUCAAGUGAAUUUGCAACUGCUUACACUCGAACUCAGAAGGGUUGGAGGCUUUCCUUCAAGGCAUCUUUCUUCUGACUAUCAGAGCUAAGUCAAUGGUUUCUCCUUGAUAUCACUAGUCCCUUUAACAAUGCCAUCCACUUUGUCUGCACUUGCUCUCUAAAGAGUUUUAACCAGCUUCUGGCUCCCUUCCUCACCUAACUGCACAUUCCAUCUAUUCUGUCUGCAGCUUUAGCUGGGGAUCUGCUUUUCUCUGCACCAAACUAUGUUUUCAUGUCUUCUGGCCCUACUUUCUCCUCUGUCUAAGUGCAGAUCUGGAUAAAUGCAGCCCGUGAGAGUGUGCCUCUAUCUAGUGGUAAAUGAAAAUCUCUUCCAAAAAGAAACUUAAGAGAGGGAGGCUUUGCUUGGACUCUGUUUGGGAGUUACAGGCCAUCACUCAGGACAAGGUCUAGGAACCAGAGCUUGAGGCUGCUGUACUUCUCUGCAGAGCAAGAAACAAGAAGAAAAAAUGCUGGCCCUUAGCUAUGGGACUUUAGACAAGUACACCUGGGUUUCCUUGUCUGUAACAUACAAAUUAUAAGGCUUGCCUCAUAUUUGAAGGAAAUGAAGUGAAAAACAGAAUGCAAAGCACCUAUGACAAUGGCUGUCACAUGCAGGGACACAAAUACGUUUAUCUCCAUUCCUAACCAAUUUUCCCAAUCACAGUGGUUCAGAACAAGGGUGAUGGAGCAAACAUACCUAAGCUUGCAUCCUUGUUCUUCUGCGAGUCUGAACCAGAUAUUUAAUCUCUCUACACCUAUAUUUCCUCAUCCAUAAACUAGAAUACUUAUCUAUUAGAUUGCUAAAAUGUUGCUAAAGAUUUCAAGAGUAAUAGAAUAGAGGACACAUAGUUCACUAAACCUAAGACUCCAUCCAGUUCAAAUGCAGCCUGGUUUUAGAAAUGUAUGUGGAGAACUGCUUAUAUUAUUGAAUUGAUAAAAUAUGGUGGUAAGCCCCCGUUAAAUACUAUACUUUGUUACUUCAUAUAACUUCUUAUUGAGAUGGCUUGUUUGGAGGUGCAGGGGUAUGGCUUACAGACAUUGGAAAGGUCACCCUUUGUCCCAGAAUGCCGAGUGAAGUUAUAUUGGCUACAAUAUAGGAUAAUAAAUGUGCUAUCAGGAGUGUGUGCAUUGGGCAAA
Long non-coding RNA from Mus musculus (house mouse), 2081 nucleotides. RefSeq annotates it as predicted gene, 46801. The record is from RefSeq and is a predicted model, not a curated record. The transcript has 2 exons. Lineage: Eukaryota; Metazoa; Chordata; Mammalia; Rodentia; Muridae.